This 862-nucleotide ribosomal RNA is filed under the name Allogalathea elegans. RNAcentral describes it as "partial 16S ribosomal RNA". The stretch from base 739 to 862 matches the Rfam family "Bacterial large subunit ribosomal RNA", at positions 2473 to 2597 of the family's 2925-position model. The record is from RNAcentral. Lineage: Eukaryota; Metazoa; Arthropoda; Malacostraca; Decapoda; Galatheidae.
GAUAGAUAUUAAUUUAAAUAUUUAAUCUAAGAAUAUAAGGGUAGAGCUUUAUCAUUCAAUAAUAAGUGAAAUAUAAGUUAAUAAGUAUUUAUUUUGAUAAUUAGGUUUUUUAGUGGCCAUAUUUUUAAAGUGUUUUAACUAAUAUAAUUGAAUAAUUUAUUUAUUAGAUUUUAUUAAAUUAAUAAUAUGUUUUUUAAAAUGGAUAAAUAUUAGAAAUAAUGAAAAUAUUAGUAGAAUUAAAUAUAUGAGAAAAAAGAAAAGUAUUAAAAGUAAAAUAUGAAAUAGUUAAGAAAAAAAUAGAGGAACUCGGCAAAUAAGGUUCUUGCCUGUUUAACAAAAACAUGUCUCUAUGAAGUUAUAUGAAGUCUGACCUGCCCAUUGAAAUUUAUUAAAAGGCCGCGGUAUAUUAACUGUGCAAAGGUAGCAUAAUUAGUAGUUUUUUAAUUGAAGGCUUGUAUGAAAGGUUGGACAAGGGAUAAGCUGUCUUUAUUUUUAUUUUUGAAUUUGUCUUUUAAGUGAAAAGACUUAAAUAAGUUUAAGGGACGAUAAGACCCUAUAAAUCUUUAUAUUAGUUUAAUUUUAUUUUAAAUUUUAAUGUUUAAAAGAGUAAAGUUAAUAUAGUAUUGUAUUGGGGUGAUAGGAAUAAUUAGUAAACUGUUCGAAGGUAUAAACAAAAAUAUUUGAUAUAUAAUUAUUAGUAGAUCCUUAGUGGAGAUUACAAGUUUAAGUUACUUUAGGGAUAACAGCGUUAUUUUUUUUGAGAGUUCUAAUCGAAAAAGAAGUUUGCGACCUCGAUGUUGAAUUAAAAUUUCUUUGUGGUGUAGUAGUUACAAGAGAGAGUCUGUUCGACUUUUAAAAUUUU